RNAcentral lists this ribosomal RNA (254 nucleotides) under uncultured bacterium. Its description in RNAcentral is "partial 16S ribosomal RNA". It matches the Rfam family "Bacterial small subunit ribosomal RNA", at positions 524 to 776 of the family's 1533-position model. The record is from RNAcentral.
UACGGGGGGAGCAAGCGUUGUUCGGAUUUACUGGGCGUAAAGGGCGCGUAGGCGGCCACCGCAAGUCAGUUGUGAAAUCUCUGGGCUUAACCCAGAAAGGUCAACUGAUACUGCGGGGCUAGAGUGCAGAAGGGGCAACUGGAAUUCUCGGUGUAGCGGUGAAAUGCGUAGAUAUCAAGUGGAACACCAGUGGCGAAGGCGAGUCCCUGGAAAACUCCUGACACUGAGGCACGAAAGCUAGGGGAGCAAACAGG